AACUACACUUUAAGGGGACCAAAGAGAUAUAUAGAUAUCAGCUACCUAUAUACCUGUUCGGUCUCUUUAAAGUGUAGUU
Molecule: microRNA precursor, 79 nt
Organism: Homo sapiens (human)
Lineage: Eukaryota; Metazoa; Chordata; Mammalia; Primates; Hominidae
Source: Ensembl